UACGUAGGCAGCGAGCGUUGUUCGGAGUUACUGGGCGUAAAGGGUGUGUAGGCGGUUGUUUAAGUUUGGUGUGAAAUCUCCCGGCUCAACUGGGAGGGUGCGCCGAAUACUGAAUGACUAGAGUGCGGGAGAGGAAAGUGGAAUUCCUGGCGUAGCGGUGAAAUGCGUAGAUAUCAGGAGGAACACCGGUGGUGUAGACGGCUUUCUGGACCGUAACUGACGCUGAGACACGAAAGCGUGGGUAGCAAACAGG
RNAcentral lists this ribosomal RNA (253 nucleotides) under uncultured bacterium. RNAcentral's name for it is "partial 16S ribosomal RNA". It matches the Rfam family "Bacterial small subunit ribosomal RNA", at positions 524 to 776 of the family's 1533-position model. The record is from RNAcentral.